RNAcentral lists this transfer RNA (84 nucleotides) under Methanofollis formosanus. It matches the Rfam family "tRNA". Rfam says of the family: Transfer RNA (tRNA) molecules are approximately 80 nucleotides in length. Their secondary structure includes four short double-helical elements and three loops (D, anti-codon, and T loops). The record is from Rfam by way of RNAcentral. Lineage: Archaea; Methanobacteriati; Methanobacteriota; Methanomicrobia; Methanomicrobiales; Methanomicrobiaceae.
GCGAGGGUAGCCAAGCUGGCCAAAGGCGCCGGACUUAAGAUCCGGUCACGAAGGUGUCCAUGGGUUCGAAUCCCAUCCCUCGCA